AAGACCUUGCACUUUUGGAGCGGCCGAUGUCUGAUUAGCUAGUUGGUGGGGUAAUGGCCUACCAAAGCUUCGAUCAGUAGCUGGUCUGAGAGGACGGCCAGCCACACUGGGACUGAGACACGGCCCAGACUCCUACGGGAGGCAGCAGUGGGGAAUUUUGGACAAUGGGCGCAAGCCUGAUCCAGCCAUGCCGCGUGAGUGAAGAAGGCCUUCGGGUUGUAAAGCUCUUUCAGCCGGGAAGAAAAGGUUGCGAUUAAUAAUCGCAAUUUAUGACGGUACCGGAAGAAGAAGCACCGGCUAACUACGUGCCAGCAGCCGCGGUAAUACGUAGGGUGCGAGCGUUAAUCGGAAUUACUGGGCGUAAAGGGUGCGCAGGCGGUUUUGUAAGUCAGAUGUGGAAUCCCCGGGCUUAACCUGGGAACU
Molecule: ribosomal RNA, 423 nt
Filed under: uncultured bacterium
Lineage: Bacteria
Description: bacterial SSU rRNA
Rfam family: Bacterial small subunit ribosomal RNA
Source: RNAcentral